CCUACGGGUGGCAGCAGUGGGGAAUAUUGGACAAUGGGGGGAACCCUGAUCCAGCGACGCCGCGUGAGUGAAGAAGUAUUUCGGUAUGUAAAGCUCUAUCAGCAGGGAAGAAAAUGACGGUACCUGACUAAGAAGCCCCGGCUAACUACGUGCCAGCAGCCGCGGUAAUACGUAGGGGGCAAGCGUUAUCCGGAUUUACUGGGUGUAAGGGGAGCGUAGACGGCAAGGCAAGCCAGAAGUGAAAGGGCAGGGCUCAACCAUGUACAUGCUUUUGGAACUGUGGUGCUAGGGUGCAGGAGAGGUAAGUGGAAUUCCUAGUGGAGCGGUGAAAUGCGUAGAUAUUAGGAGGAACACCAGUGGCGAAGGCGGCUUACUGGACUGUAACUGACGUUGAGGCGCGAAAGCGUGGGGAGCAAACAGGAUUAGAUACCCCAGUAGUC
RNAcentral lists this ribosomal RNA (440 nucleotides) under uncultured bacterium. RNAcentral describes it as "partial 16S ribosomal RNA". It matches the Rfam family "Bacterial small subunit ribosomal RNA", at positions 338 to 795 of the family's 1533-position model. The record is from RNAcentral.